GUCAGUCCUCCUAGCAGCCUGAUUAGUAGGAGUUGUUACAGAAACACAGAUGAAACCAUGGGUUAGAAAGAGGUUGAGUGCUAGAGAAUCUUAUGGCUGCCAAAUGGGUAAGCAGAGACUUCAACCACUGUCUUCUGACUCACAGCCCAAGGGAAAGACCAGGCAAGAGUAGGGGUGAAGAAAUCUCAUGUAGAAGCCCAGAACUUUCAAGAGAUAAGAAGUAGAGAGAUUCUGGUUUAAAGAGAGAUGACAGAAGCCCUGAAUGUCCUCUCUUCUGCUCCCCCAGAUACCUUCAUGGACUACAGGGCUGUACAUACGACUGUUGAAGUUUAUAACUAAAAAUAAACCAAUAGGAAAGCUAGCCAUGCCAUAGUGGCUACAUGCAUGGGAUGUGAAGCCACACUUCCUGAGUUUGAAUCCAAGCUCUGCCUCAUCUUAAAAGUGUGAUCAUAGAGAGUGUGCCAACAUCAUUCUAAAUGAUUGGGAUACAUGAGUGGGAGUGAGUGAAGUGGACAAUGGCAGCAUUUUAGAAAAGGACUAAG
This 542-nucleotide non-coding RNA is filed under the name Pan troglodytes (chimpanzee). Lineage: Eukaryota; Metazoa; Chordata; Mammalia; Primates; Hominidae. The record is from RNAcentral.